This 253-nucleotide ribosomal RNA is filed under the name uncultured bacterium. RNAcentral describes it as "partial 16S ribosomal RNA". It matches the Rfam family "Bacterial small subunit ribosomal RNA", at positions 524 to 776 of the family's 1533-position model. The record is from RNAcentral.
UACGAAGGGGGCUAGCGUUGCUCGGAAUCACUGGGCGUAAAGGGCGCGUAGGCGGCGUUUUAAGUCGGGGGUGAAAGCCUGUGGCUCAACCACAGAACGGCCUUCGAUACUGGGACGCUUGAGUAUGGUAGAGGUUGGUGGAACUGCGAGUGUAGAGGUGAAAUUCGUAGAUAUUCGCAAGAACACCAGUGGCGAAGGCGGCUGACUGGUCCGGUUCUGACGCUGAGGCGCGAAAGCGUGGGGAGCAAACAGG